UAUAAUUUAUAAAAACAAAUUAAUCAAUAUUAAUGACAUGUCAUGUCAUGUGGCACUCAUUGAAUGGGAUGCCGAUUUUCACAAUUUUUAUGGUAAUUUUAAUAUUUUUUUAGAUGUACUUCUUUACUCUUUGGUUGAAAAUCACUCAUUAUUUAAAUGAUUUUUUUUUUCUCAUAUAUACGAGUAAAGUUCAGCAAGUUGCCUGAUGCCUUCUAAAAUUAUAAUAAAGAAUAAUAUUAUGGGUCCAAAUAUUAAAGUUGCAUAAAUUACAUUAUUACACGACUAUCUUUGUAAGGGAGCUCCUAAGUCCUAAGUUAAUGUAACUUAGCGCUUCUUUGUAAUCCUAUAGAUUUGAUGAUACAGUCUUUGUGCUUUGAUUAUCUGCAAGAUUAGGUGGAUGAUGGCCUUGCCAUGUCCCCACGUGCUUGUAUCUUAACCGAAGGGAAUAGCAACAAACAAAGCCUUCACAUGGGCAUUACUAACAUUCAGCCAAGACCGGUUGGUUUUGGUUUUGAUUAGGUGGCCGCUGCUUAGAGGAUGUGAUGUUUUGAUUAGGUGGCAUAAACAAAGAGUUAAUGGUGCGAUUCUUGGCCCCUAAUUACUUUUUUAGUACGAGGUUUUUAAUGGUUGAAAGUUGAAUGAUGUCUCUCUCUCUCUCUCUCUCUCUCUCUCUCUCUCUCGAUGUAAUGAGAAUAUGAUUACUGACCCCAUCCUACAACUGAUUGUGACAAUUCUUGUUUCUUUUUCUUGUUUUUGUAUAAUGGAAUGGAAUUUGGUAUUACCCAAAAUCAUAUUCUUUAUUAGUAACUUCAAUUUUUUCCUUCCAUCUCUAACUUAAUAAAAAUUUGCAUCCUUUUCCAAGAUUAUCUCGCUCUCUCUUAAAAAUUUUGCAGUCGUUUUUUUUUUUUUUUUGGUUAGUUCACUCUUGUUAGGACCGAUCAAAUUAACUCUUCACUUUUGAUUGUGACAUAUUGGGCUCAUCACUAUCCUAAAAAUGUAAGGGAAAGUUUGGCAUGCAACAUUAAAUUGUACUAAACAUUGGGAUUAAACUAAAUUAGAUUGGAUUAGAUUAUAUUAGAUCAUAUGUAAUGCUGAUUAAUAUUUGGUAUAAUAUCGAAUCGGAAUAAGUUAAAUAGUAUUUAAGUUAA
Molecule: long non-coding RNA, 1148 nt
Filed under: Citrus x clementina
Lineage: Eukaryota; Viridiplantae; Streptophyta; Magnoliopsida; Sapindales; Rutaceae
Description: Citrus clementina (C. clementina) long non-coding RNA (CCLE_LNC001128)
Source: RNAcentral